UAGACAGAAGCCAGUUGGCUUAGGCAUUUAGCUGUUAACUAGAAUUUUGUGGGAUCAAGGCCCACCUGUCUAG
This 73-nucleotide transfer RNA is filed under the name Ciconia maguari. Lineage: Eukaryota; Metazoa; Chordata; Aves; Ciconiiformes; Ciconiidae. The record is from Rfam by way of RNAcentral.